RNAcentral lists this small RNA (82 nucleotides) under Flavobacterium sp. 81. Its description in RNAcentral is "Flavo-1 RNA". It matches the Rfam family "Flavo-1 RNA". The record is from RNAcentral. RNAcentral also lists the same sequence under 1 other name. Lineage: Bacteria; Pseudomonadati; Bacteroidota; Flavobacteriia; Flavobacteriales; Flavobacteriaceae.
UCCUAGCCCCGAUAGAAGUGGAAAUCCUUUUUUGUUUUUCCUUUAAAAACAAAAAAGAUUGCAACGAAUAGUGGGAUUAGCU